This 516-nucleotide ribosomal RNA is filed under the name Fusarium verticillioides. Its description in RNAcentral is "eukaryotic LSU rRNA". The stretch from base 151 to 304 matches the Rfam family "5.8S ribosomal RNA". Lineage: Eukaryota; Fungi; Ascomycota; Sordariomycetes; Hypocreales; Nectriaceae. The record is from RNAcentral.
GGGUUACGAGCUUCACUCCCAACCCCUGUGAACAUACCAAUUGUUGCCUCGGCGGAUCAGCCCGCUCCCGGUAAAACGGGACGGCCCGCCAGAGGACCCCUAAACUCUGUUUCUAUAUGUAACUUCUGAGUAAAACCAUAAAUAAAUCAAAACUUUCAACAACGGAUCUCUUGGUUCUGGCAUCGAUGAAGAACGCAGCAAAAUGCGAUAAGUAAUGUGAAUUGCAGAAUUCAGUGAAUCAUCGAAUCUUUGAACGCACAUUGCGCCCGCCAGUAUUCUGGCGGGCAUGCCUGUUCGAGCGUCAUUUCAACCCUCAAGCCCAGCUUGGUGUUGGGACUCGCGAGUCAAAUCGCGUUCCCCAAAUUGAUUGGCGGUCACGUCGAGCUUCCAUAGCGUAGUAGUAAAACCCUCGUUACUGGUAAUCGUCGCGGCCACGCCGUUAAACCCCAACUUCUGAAUGUUGACCUCGGAUCAGGUAGGAAUACCCGCUGAACUUAAGCAUAUCAAAGAAAAAAU